Molecule: small nucleolar RNA, 226 nt
Organism: Cucurbita maxima (winter squash)
Lineage: Eukaryota; Viridiplantae; Streptophyta; Magnoliopsida; Cucurbitales; Cucurbitaceae
Product: small nucleolar RNA Z112
Exons: 1
Source: RefSeq, a predicted model, not a curated record
AAUCCAAUGAGGAAGCUCUCCCAAAAUUGAUAGGAAGUGCCGUAUGACACUCCAAAUCGCAGCGAGAAGCCACUCGACUGUGGUUCCCAUCCGCCAGUGAGCUCCGUCUCCGAUUCGUCUCUUUACCGGAGCGAUCUGGUUUCUUCGGGGUUUUUACUGGUCGGGAAUUUGCAGCCGGUUAUGUGAUUCUCCUGUGUGGUUGAUUUGAAACGGGUCUCUGAGGAUU